RNAcentral lists this ribosomal RNA (894 nucleotides) under Zoanthus sansibaricus. RNAcentral describes it as "partial 16S ribosomal RNA". It matches the Rfam family "Bacterial large subunit ribosomal RNA", at positions 1600 to 2564 of the family's 2925-position model. Lineage: Eukaryota; Metazoa; Cnidaria; Anthozoa; Zoantharia; Zoanthidae. The record is from RNAcentral.
UCAGCCCUUCCAGAAGGUAUCCUUCUGGCAAGGGUACUGUACUAAACUAACUAAAGUGGGGGAUAGUGAGGGGAUAAAUUUUCUUAAGGAACUCGGCAAAAUCCCAAUGGCCCACCAGGGCAUAUUGGAACACGGGCCUCGACUGUUUACCAAAAACAUAGCCCUCGGCUAAUAUGAAAAUAGAUGUAUAGAGGGUGAUGCCUGCCCAAUGGUUGUAUCUAAAAGCGGUUGAUAAAAGUUGACCUCGUAAGGACAAUUGAAUGGCCGCGGUAACACUGACCGUGAUAAUGUAGCGUAAUCAAUAGCCAAUUAAUUGUUGGCCAGUAUGAAUGGCGCCACGAAGGCCCCACUGUCUUAAGGAAAUUCCCAGUGAAAUUGAAUUCGUAGUGAAGAUGCUACGUCCAAUUUGUUAGACGAAAAGACCCCGUUGAGCUUUACUGGAGCACUUACAUGGCCCCGGCCUUCCCAUGCCUGGGAACCGGCCGAAUUUAAAUGGGCGGCUUAGAUUAUGUGGCAGCCCCCCGCUGGGGCAAAUGAAACACCACUCCCCCAUGUCAAAGGGGCUAACCCCCCCCCCUUGGGGGGACAGUGUAAGUAGGACAGUUUGGUUGGGGCGACCACCUUUUAAAAAGUAACGAAGGUGCGCUUAAGGUGCGCAAUUAAUGACUGAAGCCUGACUGCGAGGGGGACACCCCGAGCAGACACCCCAAAGCCCGCCCGAAAGGCGGCGGUGGGGUGGGCCAUAGUGACCCGUUAAUUUAGAGUGGAAUAGUUAACGAUCAACGAAUAAAAGUUACCACGGGGAUAACAGCGUAAUAUCGUUAGAGAGUUCACAUCGACGACGAUGUUUGCGACCUCGAUGUUGAAUUGCGGCAUCCUGGGGUGCAGCCGCUC